This 1171-nucleotide ribosomal RNA is filed under the name Conopea granulata. Its description in RNAcentral is "SSU rRNA". It matches the Rfam family "Eukaryotic small subunit ribosomal RNA", at positions 450 to 1592 of the family's 1831-position model. Lineage: Eukaryota; Metazoa; Arthropoda; Thecostraca; Balanomorpha; Balanidae. The record is from RNAcentral.
CCCAGUUCAGGGAGGUAGUGACAAUAAAUACCUUACAGAGGUCUCGUUAACCGAGAUCUCUCAAACGGAAUGAGUACAACGUGAAUCCUUUAACGAGGAUCGACUGGAGGGCAAGCCUGGUGCCAGCAGCCGCGGUAAUUCCAGCUCCAGUAGCGUAUAUUAAAGCUGUUGCGGUUAAAAAGCUCGUAGUUGGAUAUCAGUGCGUGUCCGGUCCGGUAUGCCUGGCACUGUCGCUCUGCGUCAGCGCUGGGCUCCCAAAUAUCGGCUGGCCGCAUUCAAUCGUGCCGGAUCCGUCGACGGGCCGUUCUUCGGAGGGGCCUGUUGGCGACCGGCGACGUUACCUUGAACAAAUUAGAGUGCUCAAAGCAGGCUCUGAAUGCCUGUAUACAUAUUCAUGGAAUUGGAGAAUACGUCCCUGGCUCGAUUUGGUUGGUUUUGAGAGUCGAAGGGAAAUGAUUAAUAGGGACUGACGGAGGCAUUCGUAUUGCGACGCGAGGGGUGAAAUCCUGUGACCGUCGCACGACGAACUACUGCGAAAGCAUUUGCCGAGAAUGUUUUCAUUAGUCAAGAACGAAAGUUAGAGGUUCGAAGGCGAUCAGAUACCGCCCUAGUUCUAACCGUAAACGAUGUCGACCAGCAAUCCGCAACGGUCACUUUACGGACUGUGCGGGCAGCUUCCCCGGGGAAACCAGAGUUUUUGGACUCCGGGGGAAGUAUGGUUGCAAAGCUGAAACUUAAAGGAAUUGACGGAAGGGCACCACCAGGAGUGGAGCUUGCGGCUUAAUUUGACUCAACACGGGACAACUCACCAGGCCCGGACACCGUAAGGAUUGACAGACUGAUAGCUCUCUCUUGAUUCAGUGGGUGGUGGUGCAUGGCCGUUCUUAGUUGGUGGAGUGAUUUGUCUGGUUUAUUCCGAUAACGAACGAGACUCUGGCCUAUUAAACUUGACGCCGUCAGUCUCUUGUGACUGCGGUGCGCUUCUUAGAGGGAUCAUCGGCGUCCCAGCCGAAGGAAAGGGAGCAAUAACAGGUCUGUGAUGCCCUUAGAUGUUCUGGGCUGCACGCGUGUUACACUGAAGUGGUCAGCGCGCCGUUCAACACCCUUCUCCGUGAGGAGCUUGGGCAAACGUUUGAACCCUUUUCGUGAUGGGAAUUGGGGGUUGCAAUUG